CUCAGGAUGAACGCUAGCGGGAGGCUUAACACAUGCAAGUCGAGGGGUAACAGAGGUAGCAAUACUUGCUGACGACCGGCGUACGGGUGAGUAACGCGUAUGCAACCUGCCCUAUACAGGAGGAUAGCCCGAAGAAAUUCGGAUUAAUACUCCAUGCAGCAUAUUUUUCGCAUGAUAAAUAUGUUAAAGAUUUAUCGGUAUAGGAUGGGCAUGCGUCCCAUUAGUUAGUUGGUGAGGUAAUGGCUCACCAAGGCUUCGAUGGGUAUGGGGUCUAAAAGGAUGGUCCCACACACUGGCACUGAGACACGGGCCAGACUCCUACGGGAGGCAGCAGUGAGGAAUAUUGGUCAAUGGGCGAGAGCCUGAACCAGCCAUCCCGCGUGCAGGAUGACAGUCCUAGUGAUUGUAAACUGCUUUUCUAUAAGAUGAAUAAGGACUACGUGUAGUUCGAUGACCGUAUUAUAGGAAUAAGCAUCGGCUAACUCCGUGCCAGCAGCCGCGGUAAUACGGAGGAUGCAAGCGUUAUCCGGAUUUAUUAGGUUUAAAGGGUGCGUAGGUGGGCGUUUAAGUCAGUGGUUAAAGCCAAUAGCUUAACUAUUGUAUGCCAUUGAAACUGGAUGUCUUGAAUAGGGUAGAGGUAGGCGGAAUGUGUUGUGUAGCGGUGAAAUGCUUAGAUAUAACACAGAACACCGAUUGCGAAGGCAGCUUACUAUGCCUUUAUUGACACUGAUGCACGAAAGCGUGGGGAUCAAACAGGAUUAGAUACCCUGGUAGUCCACGCUGUAAACGAUGAUCACUCGUUUUUGGCAAUACAUCGUCAGAGAGUAAGCGAAAGCAUUAAGUGAUCCACCUGGGGAGUACGUUCGCAAGAAUGAAACUCAAAGGAAUAGACGGGGGCCCGCACAAGCGGUGGAGCAUGUGGUUUAAUUCGAUGCAACGCGAAGAACCUUACCCGGUCUUGACAUCCGUAGGAUCCUUCAGAGAUGAGGGAGUGCCUUUCGGGGAACUACGAGACAGGUGCUGCAUGGCUGUCGUCAGCUCGUGUCGUGAGAUGUUGGGUUAAGUCCCGCAACGAGCGCAACCCCCGCAUCCAGUUGCCAUCAUUAGGUUGGGGACUCUGGAUGGACCACUGCGGUAACAACGCAGAGGAAGGUGGGGAGGACGUCAAGCAAUCAUGGUCCUUACGACCGGGGGUACACACGUGCUACAAUGGUAGUUACAGAGGGUUGCGAAGCCGUAAGGUGGAGCUAAUCUCAUAAAAGCUACGCAAGUUCGGAUUGAGGUCUGCAACUCGACCUCAUGAAGCUGGAAUCGCUAGUAAUCGCGCAACAUCAUGGUGCGGUGAAUAAGUUCCCGGGCCUUGUACACACCGCCCG
Molecule: ribosomal RNA, 1376 nt
Filed under: uncultured bacterium
Lineage: Bacteria
Description: bacterial SSU rRNA
Rfam family: Bacterial small subunit ribosomal RNA
Source: RNAcentral